Molecule: long non-coding RNA, 96 nt
Organism: Protopterus annectens (West African lungfish)
Lineage: Eukaryota; Metazoa; Chordata; Ceratodontiformes; Protopteridae
Exons: 3
Source: RefSeq, a predicted model, not a curated record
ACCUGUUACUUACUCCAGUAAUAUCAGACUGCUACAAGGGAUCUAUAGGAAGCAUUGGAAUAUUUUGUGUGUGGAUGAUAAGGCAAUUAGGUCUGU